CGAACGCUGGCGGCAGGCCUAACACAUGCAAGUCGUACGAGAAGGUUCUUUCGGGAACUGGAGAGUGGCGCACGGGUGAGUAACGCGUGGGGACCUACCUCUUAGUGGGGGAUAACGGUUGGAAACGACCGCUAAUACCGCAUACGCCCUUCGGGGGAAAGAUUUAUCGCUAAGAGAUGGACCCGCGUUGGAUUAGAUAGUUGGUGAGGUAAUGGCUCACCAAGUCGGCGAUCCAUAGCUGGUUUGAGAGGAUGAUCAGCCACACUGGGACUGAGACACGGCCCAGACUCCUACGGGAGGCAGCAGUGGGGAAUAUUGGACAAUGGGGGCAACCCUGAUCCAGCCAUGCCGCGUGAGUGAAGAAGGCCUUCGGGUUGUAAAGCUCUUUCAGAUGCGAAGAUGAUGACGGUAACAUCAGAAGAAGCCCCGGCUAAUUUC
RNAcentral lists this ribosomal RNA (438 nucleotides) under uncultured bacterium. RNAcentral describes it as "bacterial SSU rRNA". It matches the Rfam family "Bacterial small subunit ribosomal RNA", at positions 30 to 504 of the family's 1533-position model. The record is from RNAcentral.